ACUUGUCUCUUCAAGUCACCAAUAUCGAAUACUACCCCUAUUUAUAUCUGCACACCAUAGGCUUACACUCUCUUAUCACAAAGCUUGGCACUUUCUAUAUGGGGAAAGAGAGAAACAAAGGAACAGUCUUCCUUGUUAUGUUCUUAGCUCUAAUGGUGGAUGACAUCUUUCACACGAUUCACCCAAGUACAAUCUCAUCAAGAUCCCCUGAAGUAUACCAUGGAAAAUCUUUGGAGGAAUAUCCAGAAGACUCUCUGUUUCUCUCCAAAGGUUCGAGAAGAGGACAGAAAACGAAGGCAUGAGAGUAUAAAUUUCGCAACUUUUCCCGAUCAUCACCCUCCAAGCGUUUUGUGUAAUAAAUAUACAAGAACUGAAAAGAAAACAUAAACAAGUUGCAACAUCCAGAAACUUUUAGUAUUA
Raphanus sativus (radish) is the source of this 420-nucleotide long non-coding RNA. RefSeq lists it as uncharacterized. NCBI's taxonomy places the organism in Eukaryota, Viridiplantae, Streptophyta, Magnoliopsida, Brassicales, Brassicaceae. The record is from RefSeq and is a predicted model, not a curated record. The transcript is spliced from 2 exons.